GAUAGCUCAGUGGGGCUCAGCACAGCGUCCGAAUUCCCAGCAGCUCCCAGCCGCAGGCAACCUAAGCAAGCUAUAGUGAUUUCAGCUCUUAGUGAUUAUCAGCUCUCAGUGAUUUCAGCUCUUUAGCUUGCUAGACUCCAUGCAAGCCACAGGAGACACCAGAUGUUUUCUAUCUUCAUCAAAUAAUCUGAAACUGAACAAUUUAAUUGGAAGGAUGCAGAUUGUUGCAGUGUGCUGUCAUGGUGUGCUCAGUUUCCUCAGUUCUUCCCCUGAAGUUUCCUUCCCCAGGUGGGUG
Molecule: long non-coding RNA, 295 nt
Organism: Passer domesticus (house sparrow)
Lineage: Eukaryota; Metazoa; Chordata; Aves; Passeriformes; Passeridae
Exons: 3
Source: RefSeq, a predicted model, not a curated record